UACGAAGGGUGCAAGCGUUAAUCGGAAUUACUGGGCGUAAAGCGUGCGCAGGCGGCGACAUAAGACAGAUGUGAAAUCCCCGGGCUCAACCUGGGAACUGCGUUUGUGACUGUAGAGCUAGAGUACGGUAGAGGGGGAUGGAAUUCCGCGUGUAGCAGUGAAAUGCGUAGAUAUGCGGAGGAACACCGAUGGCGAAGGCAAUCCCCUGGACCUGUACUGACGCUCAUGCACGAAAGCGUGGGGAGCAAACAGGAUUAGAUACCCGCGUAGUCC
Molecule: ribosomal RNA, 273 nt
Filed under: uncultured bacterium
Lineage: Bacteria
Description: partial 16S ribosomal RNA
Rfam family: Bacterial small subunit ribosomal RNA
Source: RNAcentral